RNAcentral lists this ribosomal RNA (400 nucleotides) under Wickerhamomyces sp. Its description in RNAcentral is "LSU rRNA". It matches the Rfam family "Eukaryotic large subunit ribosomal RNA", at positions 186 to 589 of the family's 3401-position model. Lineage: Eukaryota; Fungi; Ascomycota; Saccharomycetes; Phaffomycetales; Wickerhamomycetaceae. The record is from RNAcentral.
UUCCUUGGAACAGGACGUCACAGAGGGUGAGAAUCCCGUCUGAUGAGGUGAUCCACUCCUUUGUAAAGUGCUAUCGAAGAGUCGAGUUGUUUGGGAAUGCAGCUCUAAUUGGGUGGUAAAUUCCAUCUAAAGCUAAAUAUUGGCGAGAGACCGAUAGCGAACAAGUACAGUGAUGGAAAGAUGAAAAGAACUUUGAAAAGAGAGUGAAAAAGUACGUGAAAUUGUUGAAAGGAAAGGGUAUUAGAUCAAACUUGGCGUUGUGUGAUUAUCUUCCCCUUGUGGGUUGUGCUCUCGUGCUUCGCUGGGCCAGCAUCAAUUCAUGUGGCAGGAUAAUAUCAUUGGAACGUGGCUGCGCUUCUGUGUAGUGUUAUAGCCUUUGUUGAUACUGCCUAUGUGGAUC